AAUUUUCAACCCAGGGCUGAGUUUAACCCCGGGGUUGAAAUUUCAACCCUGCUUCAGCUAGCAGGGUUGAAAUUUCAAUCCCGGGGUUGAACUCAGCCCUGGGUUGAAAA
RNAcentral lists this microRNA precursor (110 nucleotides) under Paramuricea clavata. The record is from RNAcentral. Lineage: Eukaryota; Metazoa; Cnidaria; Anthozoa; Malacalcyonacea; Plexauridae.